This is a long non-coding RNA of Polyodon spathula (Mississippi paddlefish), 1288 nucleotides long. RefSeq lists it as uncharacterized. The record is from RefSeq and is a predicted model, not a curated record. The transcript has 3 exons. Lineage: Eukaryota; Metazoa; Chordata; Actinopteri; Acipenseriformes; Polyodontidae.
CAUAACACAACAUUCACCAGUGCUGGCGUUGAAAGAGACUGAAAUACAUUUUCCACUUGCUGAUUCUUGACACUUGUUCAUCGAGAUGCUGUCAACUGCAGAAAUGUCCUGUAAAAAAUCCAGGCUUGAUCUCAAAUGGGUGACCACAUAAUGGACUCAAAUACCACCCAGACCAAAAGUGUAGAGCCUGUCAAUGGCUCAGCCCACUGCUACCACCCCUGCGCUGACUCAGGAGAGGCGAAGACGAACAGACGCUGUCCUCCGACGCGUGUGCCGUCAGCCGACCGCUUCUUUACACACUGCAGACUCACCAUGCAGCCACCCAGCGCUACUGCGUCAGAGGACAAUGCAGCCCUGGGCAGUUUACAGGCAGGCCCGCAGGUGGCUGGCCAGACAGCAUGGGUUGCUGGUGCUCAGUGAACAAAGUACACCCUGGCCGACCUAGCCCUCCCUCCCCCUGGGCGGCUCUCGGCCAAUUGUGUGCUGCCUUCUGAGAGCUCCCAUCCUCGGUCGGCAAAAGAAUAGCCUGGACUUGAACCGGCGACAUCCAUCCUAUAGGGCGCAUUCUGCGCUCCACGCAGAGUGCCUUUACUGGAUGCACCACUCAGAAGCCCACAUUUUAAUGUUUUACAUAGAGAAUAACUUAACACAUUGUACGGCAACAUGGCCUGGACAUGGUUUAACACAAAUUAUUGGUAAUCUAGUACUUGAUAUUUCAUACAUUCAAUUAAUUAAGUUAAUAUUAUCAUGAAUAUCAGACCAUUACUUUAGUUCCACAUGCAAAAUUAGAACUAAACACCAAACCUCUGAUUAGGUAACAAUUGAUAAACAAUGUUAUUAGGAAGCAAUUUAAAAUAUAUAGUUUUUAUUUUCACAGGAACUGUAUCCUGUACUUCCACUACUCGUUAUAAAAUGGUAUCCCUCGAAACGUUCUGCUUCUAACAUGUUUAGGGCUGAGUUGAAUGAAAACUCUUAAUUUUGCUGGGCAAUGUUAAAAACAAACUUAUGAAAGUGUAAGCAAUGUAUUUAUCGGACCCUAUAAUAAAUAAUGUAUGAUGGUCAUAUCCCAUUUCCUGUCUGCCAUCCCUUAUAACAGUUGCACUACUAAUGUCAUUGUAGAUAUACAUUGUUGUAAUCCUAACAUUGUAUUUUAUUUCACAUUGUAAUCUAGUAGUAGAAUUUGCUCUUACUAGAAACUACACUGUAUUUAAAUAUUGACCUUGAAUUGUAACCCUGUGUUGCCCUGUAACACAUUCAAGUUGCCUUGGAUAAAGGUUUCUGCCAAAUA